GCUAUGAAUUGGAAUUUUCGAAUCGACCUGUAGAAUGUAGCAAAUGCUACUUUUUAGUGAGGUAUAUAGUGUUUUGAGUUUUGACAUUGAUAUUGUGUUUCAUUGAGAAAAAAAUUGUGUGCAUUGCCAUUGUGUUAGGUACUCUCUGUUUGGUAUUUAGGUUGUUUUCAUGUUCGAAUGUGGUUGUUUAUUGAUGUUUUAUUUCGAGUUAACACUGCUAUACAUUUGUUCUUGCUCUCUCCUAUAUACCUUAGCUAACUGAAGAACUGUCAAAAGUGGAUGAAAAGCUGAAGUUGACCGAAUCUCUUCUCGACAGCAAGAAUCUUGGAAUCAAGAAAAUCAACGAUGAGAAGAAAGCAUCAAUGGCAGCUCAAUUUGCAGCAGAAGCUACUUUACGAAGAGCCCACGCAGCUCAAAAAGACGAUGACAUGCCCCCAAUCGAAGCCAUCCUUGCACCUUUGGAAGCCGAACUCAAGCUAGCCAGACAAGAGGGAACGAUGAGGAUGCGAGUGACCCAACUGCAUUUAAAGAAUUCACAAUGGACCAACUUAAAAAUGCAAAGGGAAUUGGGUGAACCAAAUGUGUUACAACUAAGUAAAAUGUCUUUGUAGUUUUUAAUUAAAGAUUCUAUACUAAGUGAAGUGAGGUUAUAUAUGUUUGGAUUAUAAUAGUUUUCUCUAGCCUCUCACAUGUACUAAGGGGUGUUAUAUAUGUUUGGAUUAUAACA
This is a long non-coding RNA of Helianthus annuus (common sunflower), 727 nucleotides long. RefSeq lists it as uncharacterized. The record is from RefSeq and is a predicted model, not a curated record. NCBI's taxonomy places the organism in Eukaryota, Viridiplantae, Streptophyta, Magnoliopsida, Asterales, Asteraceae. The transcript has 3 exons.